GUACAAUACAGAGUCUCUAUAAUGUCUCACUUCACAGAUGGCAGGAACUGGAUCUGUUUAAACAGGGCUUUCUGAAUCAUUUACACAGACAAUUGAGAGGCAGGCAGUCAUAUAAGGGAAAAGGAUGGAGGACUACACGUCUUAUUGUUACUAGUAUGUCUCUAUUAGUUUGUCUCUGUUCCUUGGAUGUAAGCAUGGAAAUGGCAUUUAAAAAUAAAUCAGCUGAACUAGUUGAUAACAAUGUCACAAAAUGCAUGAUGAACAGUGGACAAACAAAAUUGAAGUCUUUGCAAAUUUUUCCUGGACUCUUCCACAUCCCUGGCAGCAUUUGGCUUGAAAGGAUUCCACGGUGUAUAAUCAACUCAUUAUAG
RNAcentral lists this long non-coding RNA (371 nucleotides) under Crocodylus porosus (Australian saltwater crocodile). Its description in RNAcentral is "lncRNA (ENSCPRG00005001387.1)". The record is from RNAcentral. Lineage: Eukaryota; Metazoa; Chordata; Crocodylia; Crocodylidae.